AAACAAAAGAAAUACAUAAGUAUCAUCCAUUGAUAAAUUAAUAUAAAGAAAAGACAUCAAGUAAAAAUUGCCCACACAUUAUGAUCUCAAAUAGCUUAUGCCAUAGUCAGAAUAGCUCUUCCAAUAGAACCUAACAAUGCUAAUUCUCUAUGACAAAAUAAGCAUAGACGUUGGGAGCAAUAGUAUACUAAACCAUUAGAUGGCAAAGGAAAGAAAAGAGACUAGAAAUGGUUAAAUAAAUAAAAAUAAAUAAGAACAUUUAUGACUCAACUAUCAUAUGCUGGGCACUAGCAUAAACCAACAUAAAUAAGCAAAUACAUCUAGAGAGAAUUAGCACUAUCGAGUAGUAAUACCAAACCAAAUGAAGGAAUUAAACGACAUGCUAUUUUCANNNN
This 395-nucleotide long non-coding RNA is filed under the name Solanum tuberosum (potato). RNAcentral describes it as "long non-coding RNA (STUB_LNC000974)". Lineage: Eukaryota; Viridiplantae; Streptophyta; Magnoliopsida; Solanales; Solanaceae. The record is from RNAcentral.